AGAGUUUGAUCAUGGCUCAGAAUCAACGCUGGCGGCGCGCCUAACACAUGCAAGUCGAACGAGAAAGUGGAGCAAUCCAUGAGUACAGUGGCGUACGGGUGAGUAACACGUGGGUAAUCUACCCUUUGGUGGGGAAUAACUCUGGGAAACUAGAGCUAAUACCGCAUAAUCCCGAGAGGGAAAAGCAGCAAUGCGCCGAAGGAGGAGCCCGCGGCCGAUUAGCUAGUUGGUAGGGUAAAAGCCUACCAAGGCAAAGAUCGGUAGCCGGCCUGAGAGGGCACACGGCCACACUGGCACUGAAACACGGGCCAGACUCCUACGGGAGGCAGCAGUGGGGAAUCUUGCACAAUGGGGGAAACCCUGAUGCAGCGACGCCGCGUGAGCGAUGAAGCCCUUCGGGGUGUAAAGCUCUUUCGGCAGGGAAGAUUAUGACGGUACCUGCAGAAGCAGCUGCGGCUAACUACGUGCCAGCAGCCGCGGUAAUACGUAGGCAGCAAGCGUUGUUCGGAGUUACUGGGCGUAAAGGGUGUGUAGGCGGCUUCCUAAGUUUGGCGUGAAAUCUCCCGGCUCAACCGGGAGGGUGCGUCGAAUACUGAGAGGCUAGAGUGCGGGAGANGAAAGUGGAAUUCCUGGUGUAGCGGUGAAAUGCGUAGAUAUCNNNNGAACACCGGUGGUGUAGACGGCUUUCUGGACCGUAACUGACGCUGAAACACGAAAGCGUGGGUAGCAAACAGGAUUAGAUACCCUGGNAGUCCACGCCCUAAACGAUGCAUAUUUGGUGUGGGUCAUUCAGUUGAUCCGUGCCGGANCUNACGCGUUAAAUAUGCCGCCUGGGGAGUACAGUCGCA
This 848-nucleotide ribosomal RNA is filed under the name uncultured bacterium. Its description in RNAcentral is "bacterial SSU rRNA". It matches the Rfam family "Bacterial small subunit ribosomal RNA", at positions 8 to 890 of the family's 1533-position model. The record is from RNAcentral.